This 582-nucleotide ribosomal RNA is filed under the name uncultured fungus. RNAcentral describes it as "SSU rRNA". It matches the Rfam family "Eukaryotic small subunit ribosomal RNA", at positions 83 to 668 of the family's 1831-position model. The record is from RNAcentral. Lineage: Eukaryota; Fungi.
GAAACUGCGAAUGGCUCAUUAAAUCAGUUAUCGUUUAUUUGAUAAUACCUUACUACUUGGAUAACCGUGGUAAUUCUAGAGCUAAUACAUGCUGAAAAUCCCGACUUCGGAAGGGAUGUGUUUAUUAGAUAAAAAACCAAUGCCCUUCGGGGCUUUUUGGUGAUUCAUGAUAACUUUACGGAUCGCAUAGCCUUGCGCUGGCGACGGUUCAUUCAAAUUUCUGCCCUAUCAACUUUCGAUGGUAAGGUAUUGGCUUACCAUGGUUUCAACGGGUAACGGGGAAUUAGGGUUCGAUUCCGGAGAGGGAGCCUGAGAAACGGCUACCACAUCCAAGGAAGGCAGCAGGCGCGCAAAUUACCCAAUCCCGACACGGGGAGGUAGUGACAAUAAAUACUGAUACAGGGCUCUUUUGGGUCUUGUAAUUGGAAUGAGUACAAUUUAAACCUCUUAACGAGGAACAAUUGGAGGGCAAGUCUGGUGCCAGCAGCCGCGGUAAUUCCAGCCCCAAUAGCGUAUAUUAAAGUUGUUGCAGUUAAAAAGCUCGUAGUUGAAACUUGGGCCUGGCUGGCGGGUCCGCCUCAC